CUUUGAAGGCCAAGUGCAUGGUCCUCUUCUUCUCCUGCCAGCGGAGUGUGGUGAGGCUACCACAACUCACUGGUCCACCAUUACUGAGCUGACUGCACCUUGCCACAGAUGGUCUGUCACAUCCACACGUGCACCAGAUGAUUGACAGCCUGCAGCAUCUCUGCAGCCACUCCACAGUCCACAUCUCCCUCCCACCAGGAGGAAUCCAC
Molecule: long non-coding RNA, 209 nt
Organism: Scleropages formosus (Asian bonytongue)
Lineage: Eukaryota; Metazoa; Chordata; Actinopteri; Osteoglossiformes; Osteoglossidae
Exons: 3
Source: RefSeq, a predicted model, not a curated record